GCAGUGGUGGUUCGGUGGUAGAAUUUUUGCCUUCUGUGCAUAAGACCCGGGUUUGAGUCUCUGUCAACGCA
RNAcentral lists this transfer RNA (71 nucleotides) under Loxodonta africana (African savanna elephant). It matches the Rfam family "tRNA". Rfam says of the family: Transfer RNA (tRNA) molecules are approximately 80 nucleotides in length. Their secondary structure includes four short double-helical elements and three loops (D, anti-codon, and T loops). Lineage: Eukaryota; Metazoa; Chordata; Mammalia; Proboscidea; Elephantidae. The record is from Rfam by way of RNAcentral.